This 1629-nucleotide long non-coding RNA is filed under the name Homo sapiens (human). Its description in RNAcentral is "HSALNT0137852". The record is from RNAcentral. Lineage: Eukaryota; Metazoa; Chordata; Mammalia; Primates; Hominidae.
AUUAAAUCAUUGAGGCAUCUGGGCCUCUUAUUCCACUAAUGUGACCUCAUUAUAUCGUAAUUUGUUAUUAUAGAAAUUUAAUUUUCUGAUGCCAUAGAAUUACAAAGGGUCUUCACAUUUCCUAGGUUUUCAUCCACCCUAAUUGCAAACUUUUUGAUCAUUUACUGGUUGGGUUCUUUGAUAUUUUCUGGUCUUGGCUUUAUAUUUCUGGCAGACUACAAUGUGUAACCUAAGAAAGAAGUACUCCCUGAUGCUGGAGAUGAUUUUAAUCUCUAAAGGAGCUUGGAGACGGAGUUCUUUAAUAAGAUGAGGAAAUAUUUUGAAUUGGCAUUUCCCUUAGCCACCAUUAAUAUAUAUGUGGAUCUUGACUUUGACAUCUUCACACUCUCUAUCACUUAAUGGAAUUCCCUUCCAUAGAUCUGUGAGGAAGUCAGAAACACAGAGAAGAUUGCUUAGAUUUCUCUGCCUACCUCACAGACAGUUGUGAGGAUCAAAGAAAGUAACAUGUCUGGCCAAAGUAGUAUCAAAUAAAUCUUCAUUCCCUCCCUUUCUUCCCUCCCCACUGCCUUAAUCUAGUCAUUUAACCCAACAUGGUACUUUACUUUUUUCUGCCAUUUCAGUAGAGACCAAGAAAAGCCAAAAGGAGAGACAGGCCAUUCUGAGUGCUAGGAAUCAGAAACCUGUCCACAAUAUCCUGCUUACCUCUGGCUUACUGCAAAACACCAGCAGAAGCAGAAUGGACAAGUACAGAAAAUUGAUUAAGUCUGGACAUAGAAGGUCUCCAUACUGAAAUACAGAAGAAAAACAAAGCAAUGAAACUUUAUCAAGGUAGUUAGAAUCCAGGAAGUAUGGGCAUCCUUGAAGAUGGCAUUUGCAACAUCUAAAUCAUCCAGUCUGCAGAAGUUGAAUGCCCAUGUGCCAAGAUCUGUUCUGGGCACCGAAGACUCAGCAGUGAACAAAGAGUCAAGUUCCUCUUAACAAGCUUUUGUCCUAGUUGGGAGAGAAAAAUUAGGUGGAGUUGAAGAAAGUACAGAACUGAUGCAGUGCCCUCCCUCCCAGGAUGCCUCAGAGCCUUCCCUGACUCCUCAGUGACCCAGUUGUACAUAUCAGUCAGCAUCAAAGUGGCAUUUAUUUGAUUUUCUCAUAUAAAUUCCCAAUCUCUUCCUCCUCCAAUCCCACUGACACUACCGUCAGCCAGGUCUUCACCCUCACUUGCUUUGGUUACUAGACUAGCUCCUUAACUGGUCUACCUGCCACUGGUCUCAACAACCACUGAAAUGCCCCUUUCUACUUCAUCUGAAAAACUUGUACUCAACCUUCAAAACCCCAAUUCACCUGCUCCAUGGAGUCACGCUCAGAAACCUCCUCGCCUCACAUUCCAACACUGGUAAAACUAAUUAUACUCACUUCAUAAUUUAUUUGUGUUUCGCUUUAUUGUUUUUAGUGUUUUAUUUUAUUUUGUUUUGUUUCAGAAGUGAGGUCAUCUCAAUAUAUUGCCCAGGCUGAACACUCAAAUUUCUGAAUUCAAGCCAUCCUCCCACCUAGCCUCCCACAUAGCUGAGACUACAGGCACACACCAGCAUGUCAGGCCACAUAAUUUAUUAAUUUGGUUAAGCUUCCAGAAUAUCA